ACAUGGUUGAGUUUGUAAACAAAGCAAACGGUGAACUUUUUCGUGAUUUAUUCGACGCAGAGUUCUCUUUUAAGUUAAUAAUGUGUUAAAUCAGGACUAUCAGGAGUAACGUAUCCAGUAAUGCUGUUAAGCUUGUUACACCUUCAUUUCAAUUGUAGCAAACAUCUGAAAAAUAGAAUGUGUCGACAUGUUUAAUAGUCACUCUUCGAGUGUGAAGUUUAGACAAGCUGAAGAUGUUGAUAAUCGAUCAAAUGUAGUUUAAUUUUUUCCUUCAUGAUCAUGCCACAGCUGGCUUUAGUAUUUACAUCCGCACGGGGAUGGAGACAAUUUAUUGUCAAAUAGCUCCAUUGUAUUUAAAGUAAGCAGGAUUAACAACUCUUGAGGUUAGAAUAUGAUGCGGCCGAAGACUUUAACCAUGAACUCUCUAGUUUCUUAUUACUUUGGCUCUCAGAAUUGCAAUAAAUCACUGUAGGUAUUCACUCAUCCUGAGGAGCAAUAGAUAUGAUCAUCUUCCUAGACGAUGUCAUGAUUUUUCAGGGGGAAAUUGUCAGAGUAUGUGGAGGAAUACUUUGCUCGGUGGAUACAUUUAUUAGAGAUGUAAGUUAUUUGUGUUGCCUUCAAUAAGUCUUACCAAGUGUUAAUGUAUCAUAAAUUUUGAUGAUGAACAAAACAUUAUCUCAGUCGUAAAGGUUAAAAAUUUCUUAAGACGUAUUAUUUUCAAAGAAAAACUCUCGCAUGAUAUUUUUAAUGGAUAAUAGGAGACUUAUUGAGUACGAUACGAUUUUUGCAUUAGAGAAUGCCAAGUGGUGCCUUUGUUCAGUAAAUGACUCAAUCAGUCAGAGGCAAGAAUAGAUUAAUCAAUGAAAUUCACAAGAAAAUAAAAGAGUGAAUAGUUCAAAUUGCAGAGAAUAGCUGAAAAAUAAAAAGGCAUCCGCCGGACGCUGAACUUUAUUAUCUUACAGAGUAAAUCCAUACUUAUUUUUAAAACUGCCCCAUGCACUUAAUUUUUAAUCUUAAAAAAACUUUCAUUGAGAGAUUGUUAACUCUUAUUAUAAUUUAAUAUUAAUUAUAUUUUAACAGGUUGAAUUAAAUGAGUGACUGACAACAUUUUUUUUCUUCAUUAGUUUAUUUAUAGAUUCUUUAUCACAGAUAACAAAAUCACACAAAAAUAACACAAAAUAGCAAUUAUAAAAGGUAACAAAAUCUAGUAUGAGGCAAAGAGAGAGCGGCAAACUUAAUUGUGCUUUUCUGGCACACUAUGUACUUUCUUUGGUAGGAUAAAGUGUGAUAUUCAUCUUGAAUGGAGUCCUAAAUGUUAUGGUUUCACACAAUAACAGAGUGCCAAAAGGUGCUCAGCAACUCAAUAAAUUUAAGGAAGCUUACCUAUGAUAGUCACAUCUCUUUCAAAAAUUGUUUCUAAGACAAGACACUUUCAACGUAUUGAGGAAACCUGUACAUGCAUGACCAAUUUGUACUCACAUCUCGUGCUCAAAAUCAAUUGACAAAGUAUUCAUAAUACAUUGUAUCGUACUUAAAAAAAUAA
This is a non-coding RNA of Bemisia tabaci, 1543 nucleotides long. Lineage: Eukaryota; Metazoa; Arthropoda; Insecta; Hemiptera; Aleyrodidae. The record is from RefSeq and is a predicted model, not a curated record.